Molecule: long non-coding RNA, 274 nt
Filed under: Ursus maritimus (polar bear)
Lineage: Eukaryota; Metazoa; Chordata; Mammalia; Carnivora; Ursidae
Description: lncRNA (ENSUMAG00000008402.1)
Source: RNAcentral
CUUACCCAAAACCUCCACUGUUAUUGUUCUCAUCUUGAUAGCCCACUUGUAUCAUCUUUCCACCAUCCUUAUACCCCUUGUUUCUUGAGCCCAAAGGUAGAACUACAGACUAAAAUUGGAAGCAAGUGGGGAGAAUGCUGAAUAGAUAUUUCCAGGCCUCCAAAGCUGAAGGUCCUGUGAAGGCAGAAACCAUGUCUGUCUGGUUCUUUUUCACGUCCACAUAAACGGCAGGAAGUCCUUAUUGAAUAAAUGGAGUAACGGAAUAUAAACAGCC